GAUGAACGCUGGCGGCGUGCCUAAUACAUGCAAGUCGAGCGAACAGACGAGGAGCUUGCUCCUCUGACGUUAGCGGCGGACGGGUGAGUAACACGUGGAUAACCUACCUAUAAGACUGGGAUAACUUCGGGAAACCGGAGCUAAUACCGGAUAAUAUAUUGAACCGCAUGGUUCAAUAGUGAAAGACGGUUUUGCUGUCACUUAUAGAUGGAUCCGCGCCGCAUUAGCUAGUUGGUAAGGUAACGGCUUACCAAGGCAACGAUGCGUAGCCGACCUGAGAGAGUGGUCGGCCACACUGGAACUGAGACACGGUCCAGACUCCUACGGGAGGCAGCAGUAGGGAAUCUUCCGCAAUGGGCGAAAGCCUGACGGAGCAACGCCGCGUGAGUGAUGAAGGUCUUCGGAUCGUAAAACUCUGUUAUGAGGGAAGAACAAAUGUGUAAGUAACUAUGCACGUCUUGACGGUACCUAAUCAGAAAGCCACGGCUAACUACGUG
Molecule: ribosomal RNA, 497 nt
Filed under: uncultured bacterium
Lineage: Bacteria
Description: partial 16S ribosomal RNA
Rfam family: Bacterial small subunit ribosomal RNA
Source: RNAcentral